CCUACGGGUGGCUGCAGUGGGGAAUAUUGGACAAUGGGGGCAACCCUGAUCCAGCCAUGCCGCGUGUGUGAAGAAGGCCCUCGGGUUGUAAAGCACUUUCAGUGAGGAAGAACGCCUGGUGGUUAAUACCCAUCAGGAAAGACAUCACUCACAGAAGAAGCACCGGCUAACUCCGUGCCAGCAGCCGCGGUAAUACGGAGGGUGCGAGCGUUAGUCGGAAUUACUGGGCGUAAAGCGCGCGUAGGUGGCUUGAUAAGCCGGUUGUGAAAGCCCCGGGCUCAACCUGGGAACGGCAUCCGGAACUGUCAAGCUAGAGUGCAGGAGAGGAAGGUAGAAUUCCCGGUGUAGCGGUGAAAUGCGUAGAGAUCGGGAGGAAUACCAGUGGCGAAGGCGGCCUUCUGGACUGACACUGACACUGAGGUGCGAAAGCGUGGGUAGCAAACAGGAUUAGAUACCCUAGUAGUC
This 465-nucleotide ribosomal RNA is filed under the name Vreelandella stevensii. Its description in RNAcentral is "partial 16S ribosomal RNA". It matches the Rfam family "Bacterial small subunit ribosomal RNA", at positions 338 to 795 of the family's 1533-position model. The record is from RNAcentral. Lineage: Bacteria; Pseudomonadati; Pseudomonadota; Gammaproteobacteria; Oceanospirillales; Halomonadaceae.